This 253-nucleotide ribosomal RNA is filed under the name uncultured bacterium. Its description in RNAcentral is "partial 16S ribosomal RNA". It matches the Rfam family "Bacterial small subunit ribosomal RNA", at positions 524 to 776 of the family's 1533-position model. The record is from RNAcentral.
UACGUAGGGGGCAAGCGUUAUCCGGAUUUACUGGGUGUAAAGGGAGCGUAGACGGCCAUUCAAGCCAGAUGUGAAAGCCCGGGGCUCAACCCCGGGACUGCAUUUGGAACUGUAUGGCUGGAGUGUCGGAGAGGCAGGCGGAAUUCCUAGUGUAGCGGUGAAAUGCGUAGAUAUUAGGAGGAACACCAGUGGCGAAGGCGGCCUGCUGGACGAUGACUGACGUUGAGGCUCGAAAGCGUGGGGAGCAAACAGG